AAGGUAGCAUAAUCAUUAGUUUUUUAAUUGGGGACUGGAAUGAAAGAUUGGACGAGAGAUUGACUGUCUUAUUAGGUUGAAGUUGUUGUUUAUGUGAGGAAACAUAAGGGACGAGAAGACCCUAUUAAGUUUGAUUAUUUUAUUGGGGUGGUAAUGAUGAUAAAGAGAUGUAAUUACUAUAGGGAUAACAGCGUAAAGUUUUUGGAGAGAUCAUAUUGAUAAAAAAUUUUGCGACCUCGAUGUUGAAUUAAAUCUUUUUGGAGAAGGACUUUUGAAUUUUUACA
RNAcentral lists this ribosomal RNA (284 nucleotides) under Charinus vulgaris. RNAcentral's name for it is "partial large subunit ribosomal RNA". The record is from RNAcentral. Lineage: Eukaryota; Metazoa; Arthropoda; Arachnida; Amblypygi; Charinidae.